This 87-nucleotide transfer RNA is filed under the name Isachenkonia alkalipeptolytica. RNAcentral describes it as "tRNA-Leu". It matches the Rfam family "tRNA". From Rfam's summary of the family: Transfer RNA (tRNA) molecules are approximately 80 nucleotides in length. Their secondary structure includes four short double-helical elements and three loops (D, anti-codon, and T loops). Further hydrogen bonds mediate the characteristic L-shaped molecular structure. tRNAs have two regions of fundamental functional importance: the anti-codon, which is responsible for specific mRNA codon recognition, and the 3' end, to which the tRNAs corresponding amino acid is attached (by aminoacyl-tRNA synthetases). tRNAs cope with the degeneracy of the genetic code in two manners: having more than one tRNA (with a specific anti-codon) for a particular amino acid; and 'wobble' base-pairing, i.e. permitting non-standard base-pairing at the 3rd anti-codon position. Lineage: Bacteria; Bacillati; Bacillota; Clostridia; Eubacteriales; Clostridiaceae. The record is from RNAcentral.
GCCGCGGUGGCGGAAUAGGCAGACGCAGCAGACUCAAAAUCUGCCGAUGUUAUCAUCGUAAGGGUUCAAGUCCCUUCCGCGGCACCA